UUUACCUUAAUUAGUUUAAAGCCAAGAACAUCAAAAAAAGAAGCAAUUGGCACAAAAUAAAUGAUAGUGCCUAAACAUUAAAAAAGAAAUGAUAGACACAAAAUAAAUAACAGUGCCUUUCUUACCCCAAAAUAUUAUACUUAUAUAUUAUAAACAAACUUAUUAUCUAUUGGUAAUCAUUUAUUCAAAUGUUCAAUUAAAAUAAAACUUAAAUUGUUUACUUUAAUUAGUUUAAAGUCAAGAACAUUAAAAAAGAAACGAUG
RNAcentral lists this long non-coding RNA (263 nucleotides) under Manihot esculenta (cassava). RNAcentral's name for it is "long non-coding RNA (MESC_LNC012822)". Lineage: Eukaryota; Viridiplantae; Streptophyta; Magnoliopsida; Malpighiales; Euphorbiaceae. The record is from RNAcentral.